Long non-coding RNA from Ornithodoros turicata, 1123 nucleotides. RefSeq lists it as uncharacterized. The transcript has 2 exons. The record is from RefSeq and is a predicted model, not a curated record. Lineage: Eukaryota; Metazoa; Arthropoda; Arachnida; Ixodida; Argasidae.
AAGUUAAUUAAUGAGUCUAAGGUAAUUAGUCAUCUGGGAGUUCAAUACUGUCGUCCAGAGGGUAUCCGACUGGCCGUAGAACUCAACAGCAAAAUACAACAUCUAUACUGCACUCAUAGCUGUUUAUAAAAAUUCUGUAAAUGCUAAAAAUAAACACCCUGUAUUCCUCAGUAUUUACGUUUUGACCAUCCGACGUGUCCUUGGAUAACAUCGACAUGUUUAAACUCAUUAAAGCAAAAAUCCUAUUGCUACUCUAGAGGUAAGAAAACAGAAACAUAUACUACCUUUUGCAUUGUAGGAAGUACAGGUAUCGUAAUUCAGCAACAACAAAAAUUGGUAUUUAAAACAAUAUUACUCAAAGCUUAUCUUGAGAAAUUCUGGUUAGAUACGGUUACUGUUGUUAACAACAGUUUUGAUGUUCUGAGUGACGCACUAACACUUUUGUAUAACCAUUCUAUUGAUGUAGGCAAGUAUUCUGAUACGUGUACUAAACAAAGGCCAAGGUUGUUCCCAUAUAUAAGAGUGGCGACCGAAAUGAUUAUCAUAAUUACAGGCCCAUGUCUGUACUAUCCGUAAUUAACACAGUCUUUGAAAAACUUGUUAGUGUUAGAGUCAAUUCUUUUUUAGAAAUGUUUUAGCUUUUUUCUUCCGAGCAACAUGGCUUUCGAGAAAAGCAAUCCACUUCUUCCGCUGUACAAAUUGCCACAAAAUGUAUUAAUUACGUGUUAAAAGAUAACCUUGUAACCUUCCCUGCUGGCAUCUUUCUAUACUAAAAAAAUCAUUUGACACGAUAAACCACAAGAUCGCGUUGACAAAAAUGGUUUCCAUGGUCAUGCCUUCAUUUUUUUUUUCAGUUUUGCAGCAGUUACCUGUCUUCACAAACACAAGCAGCUGUAGGUAACAAUGUUCCCUCCCAGCCUCUGUGUACCUCUAUAGGAGUCCCACAGAGCUCAGUUCACUUGUUACAUCCCAAACUGAGAUUGACCAGGGAGAAGGAUUUAGACAACUCCAAUCUUAGGAAGAUCAGUAAUGUAUAUGGUCAUAGGUCUGCAGCAUUUCAAGGAGAAGAUAUGGAAUUCUGUAGACACAAAUAGAGUGCACAAUAUUAAACCUGCCCUCACUA